Molecule: long non-coding RNA, 323 nt
Organism: Xenopus laevis (African clawed frog)
Lineage: Eukaryota; Metazoa; Chordata; Amphibia; Anura; Pipidae
Exons: 3
Source: RefSeq, a predicted model, not a curated record
ACGAACAUACUGUUUGUGUUGUUGUGUUUCAGAUUCAGAUUCAUUGAGAGUAACUGGUUCGUGUGGGUAACUCAGAUGAAUCACAUUCCAAUGAAUAUUGACUAUGAUCAGAAUUAGGAGUGGCUCUCCACGCAGCUCCAAGCCACGUGCAAUGUGGACCAGUCCCAGUUUAACGACUGGUUCAGUGGACACCUCAAUUUCCAGAUUGAGCAUCAUUUAUUUCCCACAAUGCCACGUCACAAUUACUGGAAAGCCGCUCCCCUUGUCCACUCUCUGUGCAAGAAGUAUGGCAUUGAGUAUCAGUCCAAGCCAUUGUUCACAGC